RNAcentral lists this long non-coding RNA (420 nucleotides) under Mytilus galloprovincialis (Mediterranean mussel). The record is from RNAcentral. Lineage: Eukaryota; Metazoa; Mollusca; Bivalvia; Mytilida; Mytilidae.
CCUGCUGCAAGAUCGUGAUUUUUUUAGCAAAAUACUGAUGGUUAUGGAUGUACAGAAAUUGCAAUACUCACGUACAUCAAUUGACCAAUUACGAUUACGCCCAGUUCAAUAUUUCACUUGUUUAACCUUAUUCUUAAUUUUUAUAUAAGAAAAUUGUACAAUUUAGCACCCCAUUUUUCAGUCUUUUUUCAGUUUAUUUAUAUUUUUUUCUUCUUUUUUUUUGGGGGGGGGGGUAUUUUCUUUUCUGUUAAUCGCCUCGCUUAUUUGGGUAAUUUCUAAGAAAGAUCAGAGAUGCAAGCGUCAAGCAAGAUAUGUUAAAAGUGAAGAAGUAUCUACAAUGAAAAGCUGUUAAAUUGCUUUUUUUGGUAGUAUCUUUUAAAAUUUGGUAAGAUUAAUAUGGUACAACCAACUAAUAAAGAU